UAACGCAGCGAAAGCUGUGCUAAUACCGCAUACGAUCUAUGGAUGAAAGCGGGGGACCGAAAGGCCUCGCGCGAUUGGAGCGGCCGAUGUCAGAUUAGCUAGUUGGUGGGGUAAAGGCCCACCAAGGCGACGAUCUGUAGCUGGUCUGAGAGGACGACCAGCCACACUGGGACUGAGACACGGCCCAGACUCCUACGGGAGGCAGCAGUGGGGAAUUUUGGACAAUGGGCGCAAGCCUGAUCCAGCAAUGCCGCGUGCAGGAAGAAGGCCUUCGGGUUGUAAACUGCUUUUGUACGGAACGAAACGGUCCGGGUUAAUACCCUGGGCUAAUGACGGUACCGUAAGAAUAAGCACCGGCUAACUACGUGCCAGCAGCCGCGGUAAUACGUAGGGUGCAAGCGUUAAUCGGAAUUACUGGGCGUAAAGCGUGCGCAGGCGGUUUUGUAAGACAGGCGUGAAAUCCCCGGGCUCAACCUGGGAAUGGCGCUUGUGACUGUAAAGCUAGAGUGCGGCAGAGGGGGAUGGAAUUCCGCGUGUAGCAGUGAAAUGCGUAGAUAUGCGGAGGAACACCGAUGGCGAAGGCAAUCCCCUGGGCCUGCACUGACGCUCAUGCACGAAAGCGUGGGGAGCAAACAGGAUUAGAUACCCU
Molecule: ribosomal RNA, 649 nt
Filed under: uncultured bacterium
Lineage: Bacteria
Description: bacterial SSU rRNA
Rfam family: Bacterial small subunit ribosomal RNA
Source: RNAcentral